This 254-nucleotide ribosomal RNA is filed under the name uncultured bacterium. RNAcentral's name for it is "partial 16S ribosomal RNA". It matches the Rfam family "Bacterial small subunit ribosomal RNA", at positions 524 to 776 of the family's 1533-position model. The record is from RNAcentral.
UACGGGGGGAGCAAGCGUUGUUCGGAUUUACUGGGCGUAAAGGGCGCGUAGGCGGCCAGCACAAGUCAGUUGUGAAAUCUCCGAGCUUAACUCGGAAAGGUCAACUGAUACUGUGCGGCUAGAGUGCGGAAGGGGCAACUGGAAUUCUCGGUGUAGCGGUGAAAUGCGUAGAUAUCGAGAGGAACACCUGCGGCGAAGGCGGGUUGCUGGGCCGACACUGACGCUGAUGCGCGAAAGCCAGGGGAGCGAACGGG